CUUUUUAAAAACAUUUUUUUAUUGAAGUAUAGUUGAUUUACAGUGUUAAUUUCUGCUGUCCAGCAAAGUGAUUCAGUUUUACAUAUGUAUAUUCUUUAUAUAUACACUCUUUUUCAUAUUCUUGUCCAUUAUGGUUCAUCACAGAAUGCCGAAUAUAGUUCCCUGUGCUCUAGAGUAGGACUCUGUUGUUUAUCUCUGCUAUAUAUAAUAGUUGGCAUCUGCUAAUCCCAAACCCCCACUCCUUCCCUCCUCCACCCUCGUCCCCCUUGACAACUACAAGUCUUCAUGUCUGUGAGUCUUUCUGCUUUGUAGACAGGUUCAUUUGUAUCACGUCUUAGAUUCCACCUAUAAGUGAUAUCAUAUACGGGUCUUUCUCUGUCUGACUUACUUCAAUUAGCGUGAUAAAAUCUAGGUCCACCCAUGUUGCUGCAAACGGCAUUUUUUCUUUCUAAAAGAUCCUUUUACUGACUCUUAUAGGAGAGAGAAAUGAUAGGAACUCUGUCAACAUAUGGUUUCACUCUGUGAAGGUGGGCAGAACAUUUGGCAUGUUAUUCUUAGCCCUAUCUUGCAGGAAGUCUCUGAACAAAAGAAACCAACGACUCUGCCCAGAAAACUAAACUUAAAAAAAAAAAAAAUUGAACUUUUUUAAAAGGUUGAUCAAAGUGAAGAUAAUUGAGGGGAUUUAGAAACAUGAUGCUUCUGGAAAGUUCGGGGGUUAGGAAAGAAUAGGAAAUGUGGCAACUUAGGGAUGGAAAGAACCAGCUUAGGGGUUUAGGACUUAGGAGUUCCUAUCAUGGCGCAGUGGAAAUGAAUCCAACUAGUAUCCAUGAGAACUCAGGUUCGAUCCUUGGCCUUGCUCAGUGGCACUGCCAUGAACUCUAGUAGGUCGCAGACACAGCUCGGAUCUGGUGUUGCUGUGGCUGUGGCCUAGGCUGGCAGCUGUAGCUCCCAUUUGACCCCUAGCCUGGGAACUUCCAUAUGCUGCAGGCUAGGGGUCCAAUCAGAGUUACAACUGCCAGACUACACCACAGCCACAGCCACAUCAGAUCUGAGCUGCAACUGCGACCUACAUCACAGCUCACGGCAACGCCGGAUCCUCAAUCCACUGAGCGAGGCCAGGGAUCGAACCCGAAACCUCACGGUUCCUAGUCAGAUUCAUUUCUGCUGCGCCACGAUGGGAGCUCCGCCUUUGGUUUUUCCUGCUUGCAUGUUACUACCUGCUUCUUGGCACCCCGGGAAUGAGAACAGGGGGCUGCAUACUGGUCAGUUAAAUAGCCUUUGGUCUAAGUUGGACUGGAGGGAAAGCAACGUGAAUAACGGGCGGCACAGAAUAUGGGGCCCACUGAGGAGGUCGCGUCCCUCCCAAGGGUGUCCCCACACUCCCAAGACCUCUCCGUGGGCCCGAGGCUGAGCUACACUAAUGAGCUAAAUUCCGCUCUUCCAUUGUAUGUAGCCUGAUGUGUCUGCCUCCAUGAGCGUAUUCCCUAGGCUUGUCUCCCUGAUCUUGAGCCAGUGUCUCAUGGUUUUUUGUCUUUUUGGUUUUAUUAAUAUGAUUUUUUUCUAUUAUAGUUGAUUUACAGUGUUCUGUCAAUUUCUACUGCACAGCACAGUGACCCGUCACACACGUAUAUACGUAUUCUUUUUCUCACAUUAUCCUCCAUCAUGUUCCAUCACAAGUGACUAGAUGUAGUUCCCAGUGCUACACAGCAGGAUCUCUUUGCUUAUUCACUCCAAAGGCAAUAGUUUGCAUCUGUCAACCCCAGACUCCCAGUCCAUCCCACUCCCUCC
RNAcentral lists this long non-coding RNA (1788 nucleotides) under Sus scrofa (pig). RNAcentral describes it as "lncRNA (ENSSSCG00030023625.1)". Lineage: Eukaryota; Metazoa; Chordata; Mammalia; Artiodactyla; Suidae. The record is from RNAcentral.